UGUGUUCCUGUCCUGUCUUUCCACAAUACUAUUGCAGAUCAACAUAAAAGCCGUAAAGACAGCUGUGGUGUCGCUCUUCAUUUCUUGGUUCUCCUGUGGUGCAUAUAAGACCCGCUACAUUUAGGCAGGUCAACAUUCACAAGGCCUCAGGGCCAGACGGAUUACCAGAACGUGUACUGCGAGCAUGCGCUGACCAACUAGCAAGUAUCUUCACUGACAUUUUCAACCUCUCCCUGUCUGAGUCUGUAAUACCAACAUGUUUUAAGCAGACCACCAUAGUCCCUGUGCACAAGAACACUAAGGUAACCUGCCUAAAUGACUACCGACCCGUAGCACUCACGUCUGUAGCCAGGAAGUGCAUUGAAAGGCUGGUCAUGGCUCAUAUUAACACCAUCAUCCCAGAAACCCUAGACCCACUCCAAUUUGCAUACCGCCCCAACAGAUCCACAGAUGAUGCAGUCUCUAUUGCACUCAACACUGUCCUUUCCCACCAGGACAAAAGGAACACCUACGUGAGAAUGCUAUUCAUUGACUACAGCUUAGCGUUCAAUACCAUAGUGCCCUCAAAGCUCAUCAAUAAGCUAAGGACCCUGGGACUAAACACCUCCCUCCGCAACUGGAUCCUGGACUUCCUGACGGGCCGCCCCCAGGUGGUAAGGGUAGGUAACAACACAACCGCCACGCUGAUCCUCAACACACGGGCCCCUCAGGGGUGCGUGCUCAGCCCCCUCCUGUACUCCCUGUUCACUCAUGACUGCAUGGCUAGGCACGACUCCAACACCAUCAUUAAGUUUGCUGAUGAUUCAACAGUGGUAGGCCUGAUCACCGACAAUGAUGAGAAAGCCUAUAGGGAGGAGAUCAGAGACCUGACCGUAUUGUGCAAGGACAACAACCUCUCCCUCAACGUGAUCAAGACAAAGGAGAUGAUCGUGGACUACAGGAAAAGGAGGACUGAGCAUGCCCCCAUUCUCAUCGAUGGGGCUGUAGUGGAGCAGGUUGAGAGCUUCAAGUUCCUUGGUGUCCACAUCACCAACAAACUAACAUUGUCCAAGCACACCAAGACAUUCGUGAAGAGGGCACGACAAAACCUAUUCCCCCUCAGGAGACUGAAAAGAUUUGACAUGGGUCCUCAGAUCCUCAAAAGGUUUUAC
This 1151-nucleotide long non-coding RNA is filed under the name Salmo salar (Atlantic salmon). RNAcentral's name for it is "lncRNA (ENSSSAG00000095852.1)". Lineage: Eukaryota; Metazoa; Chordata; Actinopteri; Salmoniformes; Salmonidae. The record is from RNAcentral.